RNAcentral lists this ribosomal RNA (115 nucleotides) under Shigella flexneri K-671. The record is from RNAcentral. Lineage: Bacteria; Pseudomonadati; Pseudomonadota; Gammaproteobacteria; Enterobacterales; Enterobacteriaceae.
UGUCUGGCAGUUCCCUACUCUCGCAUGGGGUGACCCCACACUACCAUCGGCGCUACGGCGUUUCACUUCUGAGUUCGGCAUGGGGUCAGGUGGGACCACCGCGCUACGGCCGCCA